RNAcentral lists this ribosomal RNA (297 nucleotides) under uncultured eukaryote. RNAcentral describes it as "partial 18S ribosomal RNA". It matches the Rfam family "Eukaryotic small subunit ribosomal RNA", at positions 1470 to 1796 of the family's 1831-position model. The record is from RNAcentral.
CCCUUAGACGCUCUAGGCGGCACGCGCGCUACAAUGGGUGGUAGAACGUGUAACUGCUCCCGAAAGGGAGGGUGAACCACGAAUACUUACCCGUGAAUGGGAUAGUUUGUUGCAAUUUUCGGACUUGAACUAGGAAUCCCUUGUAAGAAUGCUCAAGAAUAGCGUGCUGAAUACGUCCCUGCCGUUUGUACACACCGCCCGUCGUUUCUUCCGACUGAUACUCAUUGUGAGUUGCAAGGAUUCUUAUUGAAAAAUUACUGCGAAUGCUUUGUAUUGGAGGAAGAAAAAGUCGUAACA